UUGGAGCUAAAUCAAAUGGCCGGAAAUCCCUCCCUACCGCGGCCCCCUCCCUCUCCUCCUCCCCUCCCCUCAUCACAAGAUAAGAGAAGAGAAGAGGGAGAUUGAUCGAUCGAGCGAGCGAGCAGGUCAGGAGGCGGCUCAGAUUCGCCAUGGCCACCCAUGACCUCGACGGAGGUCGGCAAUCGCUCGCCCGUGCACCGGGACAAGUCUUCCAACGACGUGGUCGUCAAGGGCCUUGACGGCAUCCCUGCUUCCCCCCAUCUGCUUCUGCUCUGUUGUGCUCGUUCGUGCGGCCGCCAAGGGCAACCCACGCAUGGAGCUUCCUCCGACUUCUCUGUUAGUAGGCAGGUCGUGGCACGCGUCAGACAUCACCAGUGUCAGACAUCACCAACUCCUCAUCGGCUUCCCCUGCCCGCACCUCUGCCCUCUCAUGUCUACCCUGAGGGGACUCAGAUCGUCAUCCCCUGGUUCAAGAGGCCCAUCAUCUAUGAUGUCCGCGCGUGACCCAACCUCGUCGAGAGAACCUCCAGGAGCUGGGAUCUCCAGAUGACUUGUGGUGAACAAGAGCAAGGCCAAGAAAGACUCCAACAAGCCCAAGCGCCCCCUAAGCGCCGUCUUAGUCCUCAUGUAGAGGCUGAUGGAGAGACGGAGGCGCACCCUGAUUUGCUCAUGCAAGCCCAAAUAGGGAUCUCACCGUGGCAACGCCACAGCCGCGGCUCGAGCUAGAUCACCAUGGCGACGCACAUCACAAGACCCCGCUGUUGGAUUCAUUUCUCUGCAGGUCACACUGAUGUUUUGCUGUGGUUGAUAAACCUGAGACUUCUUUCUAUUCUUCAAGGCGGUUUUGUUUAGGCCAGCCAUGGAGCAGAAAGAACAAACAUCGCUACUCAGCAUUAGGGAAG
Molecule: long non-coding RNA, 902 nt
Organism: Triticum dicoccoides
Lineage: Eukaryota; Viridiplantae; Streptophyta; Magnoliopsida; Poales; Poaceae
Exons: 6
Source: RefSeq, a predicted model, not a curated record